RNAcentral lists this ribosomal RNA (394 nucleotides) under uncultured bacterium. RNAcentral describes it as "partial 16S ribosomal RNA". It matches the Rfam family "Bacterial small subunit ribosomal RNA", at positions 523 to 918 of the family's 1533-position model. The record is from RNAcentral.
AUACAUAGGGGGCAAGCGUUAUCCGGAAUUACUGGGCGUAAAGGGCGCGCAGGCGGAUAUUUAAGUCAGCUGUAAAAGGCAUGAGCUCAACUCAUGUAUGCGGUUGAAACUGGGUAUCUAGAGUGCUGGAGAGGUAGGCGGAAUUCCCGGGGUAGCGGUGAAAUGCGUAGAUAUCGGGAAGAACACCAGUGGCGAAGGCGGCUUACUGGCCAGCAACUGACGCAAAGGCGCGAAAGCCAGGGGAGCGAACGGGAUUAGAUACCCCGGUAGUCCUGGCCGUAAACGAUGAAUGCUAGGUGUGGGUGUCGAGAGGCAUCCGUGCCGGAGUUAACGCGAUAAGCAUUCCGCCUGGGGAGUACGAUCGCAAGAUUGAAACUUAAAGGAAUUGACGGGG